RNAcentral lists this ribosomal RNA (256 nucleotides) under uncultured bacterium. Its description in RNAcentral is "partial 16S ribosomal RNA". It matches the Rfam family "Bacterial small subunit ribosomal RNA", at positions 524 to 776 of the family's 1533-position model. The record is from RNAcentral.
UACAGGGGGUGCAAACGUUGCUCGGAAUCAUUGGGCGUAAAGCGCACGUAGGCGGUUCGUUAUGUCGGAUGUGAAAGCCCUUGGCUUAACCGAGGAAGUGCAUCCGAAACUGGCGAGCUAGAGUACGAAAGAGGAUCGCGGAAUUCCCGGUGUAGAGGUGAAAUUCGUAGAUAUCGGGAGGAACACCGGUGGCGAAGGCGGCGAUCUGGGGUCGAUACUGACGCUGAGGUGCGAAAAGCGUGGGGGAGCAAACAGG